Molecule: ribosomal RNA, 252 nt
Filed under: uncultured bacterium
Lineage: Bacteria
Description: partial 16S ribosomal RNA
Rfam family: Bacterial small subunit ribosomal RNA
Source: RNAcentral
UACGGAGGAUGCGAGCGUUAUCCGGAUUUAUUGGGUUUAAAGGGUGCGUAGGCGGGAUGCCAAGUCAGCGGUAAAAAUGCGGUGCUCAACGCUGUCGAGCCGUUGAAACUGGCGUUCUUGAGUGGGCGAGAAGUAUGCGGAAUGCGUGGUGUAGCGGUGAAAUGCAUAGAUAUCACGCAGAACUCCGAUUGCGAAGGCAGCAUACCGGCGCCCUACUGACGCUGAGGCACGAAAGCGUGGGUAUCGAACAGG